CGAGGCAUAGCUCAGUUGGAUAGAGCAGUGGACUUCUAAUCCACCGGUCGAAAGUUCGAAUCUUUCUGUCUCGA
Molecule: transfer RNA, 74 nt
Filed under: Serratia phage CHI14
Lineage: Duplodnaviria; Heunggongvirae; Uroviricota; Caudoviricetes; Pantevenvirales; Straboviridae
Also listed under: 3 other names
Rfam family: tRNA
About the family: Transfer RNA (tRNA) molecules are approximately 80 nucleotides in length. Their secondary structure includes four short double-helical elements and three loops (D, anti-codon, and T loops).
Source: Rfam by way of RNAcentral